UUGGGCGUAAAGCGAGCGCAGGCGGUUAGAUAAGUCUGAAGUUAAAGGCUGUGGCUUAACCAUAGUACGCUUUGGAAACUGUUUAACUUGAGUGCAAGAGGGGAGAGUGGAAUUCCAUGUGUAGCGGUGAAAUGCGUAGAUAUAUGGAGGAACACCGGUGGCGAAAGCGGCUCUCUGGCUUGUAACUGACGCUGAGGCUCGAAAGCGUGGGGAGCAAACAGGAUUAGAUACCCUGGUAGUCCACGCCGUAAACGAUGAGUGCUAGGUGUUAGACCCUUUCCGGGGUUUAGUGCCGCAGCUAACGCAUUAAGCACUCCGCCUGGGGAGUACGACCGCAAGGUUGAAACUCAAAGGAAUUGACGGGGGCCCGCACAAGCGGUGGAGCAUGCGGUUUAAUUCGAAGCAACGCGAAGAACCUUACCAGGUCUUGACAUCCCUCUGACCUCUCUAGAGAUAGAGAUUUCCUUCGGGACAGAGGUGACAGGUGGUGCAUGGUUGUCGUCAGCUCGUGUCG
Molecule: ribosomal RNA, 514 nt
Filed under: uncultured bacterium
Lineage: Bacteria
Description: bacterial SSU rRNA
Rfam family: Bacterial small subunit ribosomal RNA
Source: RNAcentral